This 455-nucleotide ribosomal RNA is filed under the name uncultured bacterium. RNAcentral's name for it is "bacterial SSU rRNA". It matches the Rfam family "Bacterial small subunit ribosomal RNA", at positions 340 to 786 of the family's 1533-position model. The record is from RNAcentral.
UACGGGAGGCAGCAGGGGGGAAUAUUGCACAAUGGGCGCAAGCCUGAUGCAGCCAUGCCGCGUGUAUGAAGAAGGCCUUCGGGUUGUAAAGUACUUUCAGUCGUGAGGAAGGUGUUAAGGUUAAUAACCUUAGCAAUUGACGUUAGCGACAGAAGAAGCACCGGCUAACUCCGUGCCAGCAGCCGCGGUAAUACGGAGGGUGCGAGCGUUAAUCGGAAUUACUGGGCGUAAAGGGCACGCAGGCGGUUAAUUAAGUUGGAUGUGAAAUCCCCGGGCUUAACCUGGGAAUGGCAUUCAAGACUGGUUAGCUAGAGUCUUGUAGAGGGGGUAGAAUUCCAUGUGUAGCGGUGAAAUGCGUAGAGAUGUGGAGGAAUACCGGUGGCGAAAGGCGGCCCCUGGACAAAGACUGACGCUCAUGUGCGAAAGCGUGGGGAGCAAAACAGGGAUUAGAUACC